Molecule: ribosomal RNA, 1668 nt
Filed under: human gut metagenome
Description: bacterial LSU rRNA
Rfam family: Bacterial large subunit ribosomal RNA
Source: RNAcentral
UGGACGUAUCAGAAGUGCGAAUGCUGACAUAAGUAACGAUAAAACGGGUGAAAAACCCGUUCGCCGGAAGACCAAGGGUUCCUGUCCAACGUUAAUCGGGGCAGGGUGAGUCGGCCCCUAAGGCGAGGCUGAAAAGCGUAGUCGAUGGGAAACGGGUUAAUAUUCCCGUACUUGGAUAAACUGCGAUGUGGGGACGGAGUAGGUUAGGUUAUCGCACUGUUGGAUAUGUGCGUUUAAGUUGGUAGGUGUGAAGUUUAGGCAAAUCCGGACUUCUUUAACACCGAGAGAUGAUGACGAGGCUCUACGGAGCUGAAGUAACCGAUACCACACUUCCAGGAAAAGCCACUAAGCUUCAGGUUUAUCUAAACCGUACUGAAAACCGACACAGGUGGUCAGGUAGAGAAUACUCAGGCGCUUGAGAGAACUCGGGUGAAGGAACUAGGCAAAAUAGCACCGUAACUUCGGGAGAAGGUGCGCCGGCGUAGAUUGUAGUCCCUUGCGGGCGAAGGUUGAACCGGUCGAAGAUACCAGCUGGCUGCAACUGUUUAUUAAAAACACAGCACUCUGCAAACACGAAAGUGGACGUAUAGGGUGUGAUGCCUGCCCGGUGCUGGAAGGUUAAUUGAUGGUGUAAUCGAAAGAGAAGCUCCUGAUCGAAGCCCCAGUAAACGGCGGCCGUAACUAUAACGGUCCUAAGGUAGCGAAAUUCCUUGUCGGGUAAGUUCCGACCUGCACGAAUGGCAUAAUGAUGGCCAGGCUGUCUCCACCCGAGACUCAGUGAAAUUGAAAUCGCCGUGAAGAUGCGGUGUACCCGCGGCUAGACGGAAAGACCCCGUGAACCUUUACUAUAGCUUGACACUGAACAUUGAAUUUUGAUGUGUAGGAUAGGUGGGAGACUUAGAAGUAGUCACGCCAGUGAUUAUGGAGUCGACCUUGAAAUACCACCCUUUAACGUUUGAUGUUCUAACGAAGAUUACGAAACGUGGUCUCGGACAGUGUCUGGUGGGUAGUUUGACUGGGGCGGUCUCCUCCCAAAGAGUAACGGAGGAGCACGAAGGUUUGCUAAUGACGGUCGGACAUCGUCAGGUUAGUGCAAUGGUAUAAGCAAGCUUAACUGCGAGACAGACAAGUCGAGCAGGUACGAAAGUAGGUCAUAGUGAUCCGGUGGUUCUGAAUGGAAGGGCCAUCGCUCAACGGAUAAAAGGUACUCCGGGGAUAACAGGCUGAUACCGCCCAAGAGUUCAUAUCGACGGCGGUGUUUGGCACCUCGAUGUCGGCUCAUCACAUCCUGGGGCUGAAGUAGGUCCCAAGGGUAUGGCUGUUCGCCAUUUAAAGUGGUACGCGAGCUGGGUUUAGAACGUCGUGAGACAGUUCGGUCCCUAUCUGCCGUGGGCGUUGGAGAAUUGAUUGGGGCUGCUCCUAGUACGAGAGGACCGGAGUGGACGCACCACUGGUGUUCCGGUUGUGUCGCCAGACGCAUUGCCGGGUAGCUAAGUGCGGAAGAGAUAAGUGCUGAAAGCAUCUAAGCACGAAACUUGCCAAGAGAUGAGUUCUCCCUGUCUUUAAGACAGUAAGGGUUGUUUAAGACUAAGACGUAGAUAGGUCUGGUGUGUAAGCGGUGCGAGCCGUUGAGCUAACAGAUACUAAUUGCCCGAGAGGCUUAACUAU